AGCAGGAUCUCAUUGCUUAUCCAUUUCAUAUGCAAUAGUCUGCAACUAAUAACCCCAAACUCCUGGUCCAUCCCACUCCCUCCUCCUCCACCUUGGCAACCAUAAGUCUGUUCUCCAAGUCCAUGAGUUUCUUGUCUGUAGAAAGGUUCAUUUGUGCCAUAUUUUAGAUUCCAGAUAUAAGUGAUAUCAUAUGGUAUUUAUCUUUCUCUUUCUGACUUCUCUUAGUAUAAGAGUCUGUAGUUCUGUCCACAUUGCUGCAAAUGGCAUUAUUUUGUUCUUUUUAUGACUGAGUAGUAUUCCAUUGUUUAUAUGUACCCCAUUUUCUUAAUCCAUUCAUCUGUCAAUGGACAUUUAGGUUGUUUCCCUGUCUUAGCUAUUGUGAAUAGUGCUGCAGUGAACACAGGGGUGCAUGAUGAAAAAAUUAUGUUGACUUCCAUAAAGUACCAUUCAUGAGUAGUUACUAAAAACAAGUUUCAUGAUGAUGCUGAUCUCAAAAAACUAAGAAUUCAGAGGUCCAAAAAUCCUCUAAAACCAAGUUUUCCAUAAGUUUAUGGCAAACUCAGUGUACAUGAGGCCCUGUAUUGCCUUAUCCCAUGCAGUGUGAAUGUACACCUUUCCCACCGAAAUGCUAAUGUGUUUGAUUACUCCUUGCUGUAUCAGACCCUUUUGAUCGUAUUAGGUACCAUAUUUCUGUCUGGAAUUAGAAAGGUAAUCCAUUUGGCCCCAGAGGUUUGGAUAAAGGAUUAUGAAUAAACAGCUAUUGGGCUGAUGGAACCCUGUGCCCACUGGCCCUGAUUCCACUCUUUAGAAACACCCACGUAAAUACAAUCCCUUUUCCAUGGAAUGGCUCUUCAGCCAUCUGAGAUUAGCUUUGAAGAUGCUCUCAGGUUUUCCAUUGUGCUGACAUGGUAUUCCCAGUUCUUUAGAAUCUCUGGACUUUUCUGACUCCCUCAGUUUUGCAUUUGGCCUGGACCACUUCCUCUGUUGUUUCAGCUGUGCCUUUACUACACCAUGAUCUACUCAGCACAUUACACUUCUUAACACUUCAGUGUCAGCAAGACGAGACCCUUCACUUUUCUUGCUCCGGGAGAAAUUUUCCAAGCCAGACUAUUUCAAGAUCAGUGUUCACCAACCUAAGGUAGAUUCUCUAAGGAAUGGACAUCCUAAGGCAAAUCCUGGGAAACAUGAGAGUGAUGGGAAGUCAAGAACAAUUUUAUUCAACUUUUAAUUUUCCUUUAUGAUUGUUCCCCAUGGUGCCUUCUUUCACUUUCUUCCAAGCCCGAACACCAUUUCUGCACCUUCACUCUGAAUAUAUGACUCGUCCACAAGUAUUAAAUAGCUACUAUAUGCCAGGCACUGGAGUUGUGAACAUCAUCACGACUUUCUUGAAUCUCUGGAGCUUACAUUAUACACACUGGGUGCUGAUACGGGCUCUGAAGACAAAGCAGGGAAAGGGAAGAGGGAGUUGAAGGAGGUGCGUGGAAGCCAGCCAGGCAGUGCUCUCUCAGGGAUGACAGCUAAGCAGGGACUUGAAAGAAAUGAGGGAAUGAACCAGUAGAUAUGGCAAUGGAACAUUCCAGAGGGAGAGGCAAGUGCAGAGUCCUAGGGAGGAAGCCACAGUGGCUGAACAGAGUGACAACAGGUGGAAGAUGCUGCAGAGAGGGGCAUUGGGGCAGAUCAUGGACCUGGUGGACCAGGGGCAAAGGUUUCCAGAGGCUGUAAAGCAGAACCAUGGACACACUGCUGGUGCUGAGGGAGCAGAGGAGAAUCACCCUUUGGAUUUGGGAAUUGGUGGCAUCUCCAUUGGAUUAGAUGGGAGCACACGGUAUGGAAUAAGGUGAUAAUAGGCAUAUCAAGAGAAAGGUCUAGCUGGAGGGUGAGGGGAUUAGGGAUUUUCUUUUUUAUUUGAUGGGAUGAACAGCAUAUAUUUAGCCUGAUAGGGAUAAUCCAGUAAUGGGAAGGGGGGGAUGUGUGUUUUUGUCCUCCCUUCAUAUGCGUGUUUCCUUGAACCCAUUCCUGCAUUGUAUCCCCUUCUCUUGCAUAAUUCUAAACCAUUAUGAUAGAAGUAGCUUUGUUACACAUUUUUUUAAGUUUCACAGGAGGAAAUGUGAUAUAGUCCCUAUAAACUAAUUUCUAUGUCUAAUAGCCCUUGAGUCUCCCCAUCAAGAAAAGUUUUUUUCUAAAAAGAAAAAUAGGAUCCAAGUUACUCAUCCACAUCCUCCUUGCUAGAUAAAUAUUCCAAACAAAAAACAUAGUGUACAUACCAACAGAACUUAAUGUUGUAUCUCACUGGCUAUAAUCAAAUGCUUUUCUGAACCAUAUGCCUGCACACAAAAAGAAUCACUGAUAUUAAGAGAAUAUCUUAUUUAACACAGGUGGAAACAGUAAAAGGAUUUUUACAUGAAAAAUGUCAAAUGUAGUAAGCAACACUCCUGUAAGAAAAGAUAAACCUCGGAGUUCCUGCUUGGUGCAGUGGGUUAGGGAUCCAACUUUUCAGCAGCUCAGGUUGCUGCAGAAGUUCAGGUUCCGUCCCUGGCCAAGCUCAGUGGGUUAAGGAUCCAGUGUUGCUGCAGCCGUGGCAUAAGCCUUGGCUGCAGUUCACAUUCAGUCCUUGGCCUGGGAACUUCCAUAUGCUGUAGGUGCAGUAUCUUAGAAUCUGCUACCAAAAGACAUUCAGAGCUGUCACGCCCUGGUCAUCUGUAAGUCAGACUUCUGGCCUCCCUAACCUUCAUGACACAGCUGGGAACCCUCAAGUCUGGGGGAGGUGGGGUGAGGGAGAAGUCCUGGCAGCUGAAGUGACUCCCUCCAGGUCCAGGCGCUCUAUCUGCUUAACUGAGACUAAACCGCUCUAAUCUGAGGCUCAUUUAAAUGGACUUAGUUACCUGGUUUUCCUUUCUAGAGAAGAUAGGAAUUUGUUGAAGAAGAUAAGGCAGGUUUGCUGGCACUGGGAGUAGUCAACACAGACUUCAUAACUGGCAGUGACAUUAGGCUCCCCUUGCAGAGCAGCGUGGGGUUAGCCUCAUCAUCGAGGCCUAAGUCCUUAGGCACCUUGAGGAAGGCCUGUGUCUGCAUAUCACAACAGUGAUAAGGGUGGCCAUUAAUAAAGGUUAAUAAAGGUUAAAUUGUUGCAUUUAUUUAAGAAAGAGAAAGGUUUAUUUUUCAAAAACAACUGUUCAAAAUUGGUUAUACAAAGAUCGGUCCUUGUAGGAAUUGCGUUCCCAUUUCCUGGGAAUCACCCAUUCGUUUGUCUAACUCUGACCAUUACCAGGACAAAAGUUAAAAAUUGUUUGCUCACACUAGUUGUCUAUUCUGUUUGCCAAACUGAUUCCAUCAGUCUUUUGUUUUUUUCCCCAUAAUUAACUUCUCCCUUAAAAGAUAAAGGAAUGCCUCCUAUUCCUUUAUUGCUUUUGGUCCUCCAUUUGAGGGAGUACUAGAUGAUUUGUUUCAGUCCAUUGUUUAAAAACAGAAAUUUGGAGUUCCUGUUAUGAUAAUGAAUUGACUAGCAUCCGCGAGGAUGUAGGUUCUAUCCCUGGCCUCCCUCAGUGGGUUGAGGAUCCAUUGUUGCCCUGAGCUAUGGUGUGAGUCACAGUCACAACUCAGAUCCAGCGUUGCUGUGGCUGUGCCGCAGGCCAGCAGCUAUAGCUUUGAUUCGACCCUCACCUGGGAACCUCCGUAUGCCACAGGUGCAGCCCUAAAGAGACCAAAAAAAAAAAAAAAA
RNAcentral lists this long non-coding RNA (3718 nucleotides) under Sus scrofa (pig). Its description in RNAcentral is "lncRNA (ENSSSCG00055020292.1)". The record is from RNAcentral. Lineage: Eukaryota; Metazoa; Chordata; Mammalia; Artiodactyla; Suidae.